AGUGAGAGUAGUGGGAAGCCUUUUCAAGCCUCGCAGUCAAUCCAAAUGCACACCAAAAAACAACCACACUUCGAAUAAAAGUGGACCUACCUUUUUCUUCUGUUAUUGUUUCUUCUGUUACUUGGAAUAAUAAAUAAAUGGAUUUGAAAUUGUGAAUGAGCAGCCGUAUCUUUAGCUACCACGUAAUUCGAAUUUGAACCUCUUGAACAUAUUGUAAAAAAUGUAAUAUGGAAAUCGAACUGUUCAGGUAGGACUACGCCAAGCCAC
Molecule: long non-coding RNA, 267 nt
Filed under: Brassica napus (rape)
Lineage: Eukaryota; Viridiplantae; Streptophyta; Magnoliopsida; Brassicales; Brassicaceae
Description: long non-coding RNA (BNAP_LNC014983)
Source: RNAcentral